UACAGAGACUGCGAGCGUUAUUCGGAAUCACUGGGCGUAAAGGGUGCGUAGGCGGGUCUUUAAGUCAGGGGUGAAAUCCUGGAGCUCAACUCCAGAACUGCCCUUGAUACUGAGGAUCUUGAGUUCGGGAGAGGUGAGUGGAACUGCGAGUGUAGAGGUGAAAUUCGUAGAUAUUCGCAAGAACACCAGUGGCGAAGGCGGCUCACUGGCCCGAUACUGACGCUGAGGCACGAAAGCGUGGGGAACAAACAGG
RNAcentral lists this ribosomal RNA (253 nucleotides) under uncultured bacterium. Its description in RNAcentral is "partial 16S ribosomal RNA". It matches the Rfam family "Bacterial small subunit ribosomal RNA", at positions 524 to 776 of the family's 1533-position model. The record is from RNAcentral.